GGCUAAUACCGCAUAGGAAGUUUGUUCGCAUGAACAAACUUAGAAAGAUGGCUCUGCUAUCACUUAUCGAUGGCCUUGCGGUGCAUUAACUAGUUGGCGAGGUAACGGCUCACCAAGGUGAUGAUGCAUAGCCGACCUGAGAGGGUAAUCGGCCACAUUGGGACUGAGACACGGCCCAAACUCCUACGGGAGGCAGCAGGA
This 201-nucleotide ribosomal RNA is filed under the name uncultured Aerococcus sp. RNAcentral describes it as "partial 16S ribosomal RNA". It matches the Rfam family "Bacterial small subunit ribosomal RNA", at positions 161 to 354 of the family's 1533-position model. The record is from RNAcentral. Lineage: Bacteria; Bacillati; Bacillota; Bacilli; Lactobacillales; Aerococcaceae.